Molecule: ribosomal RNA, 382 nt
Filed under: uncultured eukaryote
Lineage: Eukaryota
Description: partial 18S ribosomal RNA
Rfam family: Eukaryotic small subunit ribosomal RNA
Source: RNAcentral
CAAUAGCGUAUAUUAAAGUUGUUGCAGUUAAAAAGCUCGUAGUUGGAUUUGUGGUGUGUCCAGUCGGCCUUUGCUCUCUGAGUGAUUGUGCUGUACUGGUCUGCCAUGUUUGGGUGGAAUCUGUGUGGCAUUAAGUUGUCGUGCAGGGGAUGCCCAUCGUUUACUGUGAAAAAAUUAGAGUGUUCAAAGCAGGCUUAUGCCGUUGAAUAUAUUAGCAUGGAAUAAUGAUAUAGGACCUUGGUACUAUUUUGUUGGUUUGCGCACUAAGGUAAUGAUUAAGAGGGACAGUUGGGGGUAUUUGUAUUCCAUUGUCAGAGGUGAAAUUCUUAGAUUUUUGGAAGACAAACUACUGCGAAAGCAUUUACCAAGGAUGUUUNCAUUA